RNAcentral lists this ribosomal RNA (253 nucleotides) under uncultured bacterium. RNAcentral's name for it is "partial 16S ribosomal RNA". It matches the Rfam family "Bacterial small subunit ribosomal RNA", at positions 524 to 776 of the family's 1533-position model. The record is from RNAcentral.
UACGGGGGGGGCAAGCGUUGUUCGGAAUUACUGGGCGUAAAGGGCUCGUAGGUGGCCAACUAAGUCGGACGUGAAAUCCCUCAGCUUAACUGGGGAACUGCGUCCGAUACUGGAUGGCUUGAAUCCGGGAGAGGGAUGCGGAAUUCCAGGUGUAGCGGUGAAAUGCGUAGAUAUCUGGAGGAACACCGGUGGCGAAGGCGGCAUCCUGGACCGGCAUUGACGCUGAGGAGCGAAAGCCAGGGGAGCAAACGGG